UGAGGAAUAUUGGACAAUGGGCGCAAGCCUGAUCCAGCAAUGCCGCGUGCAGGAUGAAGGCCUUCGGGUUGUAAACUGCUUUUGUACGGAGCGAAAAGGUCUGCCCUAAUACGGUGGGCUCAUGACGGUACCGUAAGAAUAAGCACCGGCUAACUACGUGCCAGCAGCCGCGGUAAUACGUAGGGUGCGAGCGUUAAUCGGAAUUACUGGGCGUAAAGCGUGCGCAGGCGGUUAUAUAAGACAGAUGUGAAAUCCCCGGGCUCAACCUGGGACCUGCAUUUGUGACUGUAUAGCUAGAGUACGGUAGAGGGGGAUGGAAUUCCGCGUGUAGCAGUGUAAUGCGUAGAUAUGCGGAGGAACACCGAUGGCGAAGGCAAUCCCCUGGACCUGUACUGACGCUCAUGCACGAAAGCGUGGGGAGCAAACA
Molecule: ribosomal RNA, 427 nt
Filed under: uncultured bacterium
Lineage: Bacteria
Description: bacterial SSU rRNA
Rfam family: Bacterial small subunit ribosomal RNA
Source: RNAcentral